RNAcentral lists this long non-coding RNA (520 nucleotides) under Monodelphis domestica (gray short-tailed opossum). Its description in RNAcentral is "lncRNA (ENSMODG00000036663.1)". Lineage: Eukaryota; Metazoa; Chordata; Mammalia; Didelphimorphia; Didelphidae. The record is from RNAcentral.
UGUGCAAUCCAGGCUAGAGUACCCAUGGCAAGUAAUAGUUUCUUUGCCGUCUUGUAUCUUGAAAAGCCUUUUGCAACAGAAAAAAUGUUUUUAAGUCUGGCCCUUUAAGAGUUGCCUCCUCCCUUCAGGGGGAGUGGUUACUUUUGGGCGUGGUAUCACUAGGCAGAUUAGUUGCACUCAGCACUGCUCUCAAAAUGGUUACUUUUCACAGUCACACAGGCUUUUGAAAUGUAUGCAGGCCCAACUUAUCUGAAACCUCCAGUUGCUUCCUUUUCCCAAAUUCUUAACAAAAAUAGGUUGGAAAACCUACCUGGCUCACCAAAAACUGUAAUAUUUAUUGGGAAAGGAAAUAGGAUUGGGAAAAAUGGGGAUAAAUGGGAGGUUUCUAUGGGGUGUCGGAGGAGAGAGGAGCUUGUUCAGCCCAGUCUGGAGCGGCACACUCUUCGUGGUUCAGCUAGAAGAUUCAGGCCCAGGAUUCUGAAGACAAUACAUAUCGGGCAGCAUAUUGCUAAAUAGGACA